Daphnia carinata is the source of this 842-nucleotide long non-coding RNA. RefSeq lists it as uncharacterized. NCBI's taxonomy places the organism in Eukaryota, Metazoa, Arthropoda, Branchiopoda, Diplostraca, Daphniidae. The transcript is spliced from 2 exons. The record is from RefSeq and is a predicted model, not a curated record.
UGUUGGCUGAUUCAUUCGCCUUGUAAUGCUUAAUUGAAAACUGGUAAAUGGAAAGUUUUCGAUCCGACGUAGACUUGCAUCAGCGGAGAUGCGGACAAAAUAGAAAAAAAAAAGUUUAAACAGCAGUUGUAGUGGAAGCGAAACGAAAAUGGGAGGGGGGUUGAGGGCGGCGUUGCUGUAACUAAUUGGGCAAACUAUAUAUAGCGACAGGAAGGAACUGGCGGCCUGGAAUUCAUUGUGAACUCGUCGGACGCGUUGAUUGGUCUUGCGUCUUUUUCUCUUUUUGUUCGGCAGUACAAGACGAUUAUAUCGUAUACAUGUGUGGGGAGGGAAAAUAGCUAAUCGCUUGCCACGCUAUUUUGUACGGAAAGAAAGAAAAAUGGGCGACGAUCGAUCGACAUGCAUUGCGGGUUUGUGGCAAAAGAAAAGAAAAAAAGAAAACAAAAAAAUUUCCCUUUUUUUUCCUGAUUUUUCUCUUUCACGAAUAGCGGGGAUUUACCGGUACUACCGUAAGCCAGCCGGCGUGGAGGAAAUAAAAAGGGAAAACACACCCCGACAGCAUCGCUUCGUUGAGCCGUUGCAGAUCGAUGGCUGCCAAUUCAGCAGGAGGAGUUCCCACUACGAAAAGAAAAGAGCUUCGCAGAUUGGCCAUGUGCUUUGCGGGAUGGAGUGUGUGUGAGCUGGAUGUAGCAAAGGCGAGGCAAUGAAUGGGCACAGUGGGUGAAUGAUGUUAUAUUGUUCCAAUUCGAUGAUUUGGCGCCAGGGAAGGACGGCCACAGGAACUAGGAGCUUUUAUCCUCUCCCGUUUUGCUGGCCUUCCAAAUAAUAAACGAUGCUUCGUA